This 426-nucleotide unclassified non-coding RNA is filed under the name Melitaea cinxia (Glanville fritillary). RNAcentral describes it as "misc RNA ENSMCXG00005005975.1". Lineage: Eukaryota; Metazoa; Arthropoda; Insecta; Lepidoptera; Nymphalidae. The record is from RNAcentral.
GUGAGACGUUAUCUCUGUGCGAGCUACAGUGCGAUCUUCGCCCUCACAAUUUCUACUUUUGUAAGUUACUUUCUUUUAAUACAGUGAAAAUUUUACUUUUUGUAGAUUUGAUAUUUUACUAAUAUAUGGUUCUCUUUCAGGUGUGACGUUAGCUCUGCGCGGGCUACAUUGUGAUCUACACAAAUUCUACUUUGUGAGCUCUGGGCGAGCUACAAUGCGAUCUACGCCCUCACAAAUUCUACUUUGUAAGUUACUUUCUUUAAUACACUGAAAAUUUUACUUUUUGUAGAUUUGAUAUUUUACUAAUUGAUGGUUCUCUUCCAGGUGAGACGUUAGCUCUGUGCGAGCUAUAUUGUUAUCUACGCCCUCACAAAUUCUACUUUGUAAGUUACUUUCUUUUAAUAGAGUGAAAAUUUUAGUUUUUGU